This is a long non-coding RNA of Mytilus trossulus (common blue mussel), 564 nucleotides long. RefSeq lists it as uncharacterized. Lineage: Eukaryota; Metazoa; Mollusca; Bivalvia; Mytilida; Mytilidae. The record is from RefSeq and is a predicted model, not a curated record. The transcript has 5 exons.
UUUGAAUUAUUUUUUUUCAACAUUGAUAUUGAAAAGAUGGUUGUUUAUUUUUGCCAAUGGAUAAUAUCUGUUUGCCUUCUCAAUAUUUAUCUUAUAGACGCCAAUAAUGACUACAUAUGGGUGGAGUAUCGAAACAAAGACUUUAUGCUUGUCCAUCAAAAAAUGACAUGGAUGGAAGCUCAGAGUGUAUGUUAUUCACUUGGCGGUUUUCUUGCAACUGUAUCAAAUUCUGAUGAAAUGAAAUUCAUCAAGGCUAUGACAAACGUAUACCCUAACACGGUUUGGUUGGGUGGUACAGACAUGUUUGCGGAAGGAAGAUGGGUAUGAAUAGAGAAUUUAGAGCCAAUUUCAUAUAACCGCUGGUAUAUGGGUAGUCAUCAACCAGCCGGAAAAUCGGUGGAGAAUUGUUUGAUUUGGCAUGAAAGCAACGGAUACUAUUGGCAUGAUGUAUCCUGCAAGUCUAACUACAAAUUUGUUUGUCAGCGAUAUACAAAGAGGAAAGAAAAAUGAACAGUGAAGAAAGAUGCCAUUAUAGGAUUCAAAUAAAAUAAAAGAAUAACACUG